CUUAGAAUUUGCAAUGUCAUCCUCACAGUUGUACAGAAGUGACAACACUGUUGAUCGCCAUCUCUACAAUUCAGAUAAAAUGAACAGAAAGAAUGGGCCUGUCUCCAGCUCCACCAUUAGACGGAGGGUCCGUCAAGAUGUUUUGACUACAUCACUGUGAUUGAUGGGAAACUGAAUACAACUUUGACUGAUGUUCCACUUCAUAGAAUUGUUGACUAAC
Molecule: long non-coding RNA, 220 nt
Organism: Pseudoliparis swirei
Lineage: Eukaryota; Metazoa; Chordata; Actinopteri; Perciformes; Liparidae
Exons: 3
Source: RefSeq, a predicted model, not a curated record